AUUCCUGUGAAUGGGCGGAGCUAAAGAGAGUGUGACAGAGUGACAAACUGGAAAAAAAGCAUAGCAGCCUGAGAUCUUGAUGGAUGUAGGUCUAAUUUAAAGAGCAGACACCUAUUUUCAGCACUAAAUCUGGCCUUCAACCCCUGUCUGCUCCAGCAAACCAACCACAUGGCAAUGGAUUGUAUCAUCCCCCCCAUUGUCACAUAACACUGAGUGAAAACCUCACAGAACAAAACUACAAAAACAGCGGAUAGGUUCAAGCUACAAACCUAUCAGGGGCCACUACUAAGAACAGGAAGGCUGCGCAAAGAGUAAUUAACACCGCCCAAAAAAGUCAUUGGCUGCCCCGUGCCAACCCUGGAGGCCAUCGCCAGGUUCUCUUGUGUCAUUGUGUCAGGAAAACCAGGGCCCUCACAGGUGACCUCUUGCGCACCACGCACCAUCUGUUUGAUCUUGUCAUGAAAUUAAUAUAUAUUUUAAGGCUUAUUUUGCUGAUUAUAUUGUUUUAGGUAUAAAAGAAGGCCAGCGUUGAGACAAGGUCACAGGCUGACAGGAAACUGCAGGUUUUUGCAGAAGUAUGGGCAA
Long non-coding RNA from Oreochromis aureus, 585 nucleotides. The record is from Ensembl. NCBI's taxonomy places the organism in Eukaryota, Metazoa, Chordata, Actinopteri, Cichliformes, Cichlidae.